CCUACGGGUGGCAGCAGUGAGGAAUAUUGGUCAAUGGACGAGAGUCUGAACCAGCCAAGUAGCGUGAAGGAUGACUGCCCUAUGGGUUGUAAACUUCUUUUAUAUGGGAAUAAAACAGGGUAUGCAUACCCUCUUUUAUGUACCAUAUGAAUAAGGCUCGGCUAACUCCGUGCCCGCAGCCGCGGUAAUACGGAGGAUCCGAGCGUUAUCCGGAUUUAUUGGGUUUAAAGGGAGCGUAGGUGGAUUGUUAAGUCAGUUGUGAAAGUUUGCGGCUCAACCGUAAAAUUGCAGUUGAAACUGGCAGUCUUGAGUACAGUAGAGGUGGGCGGAAUUCGUGGUGUAGCGGUGAAAUGCUUAGAUAUCACGAAGAACUCCGAGUGCGAAGGCAGCUCACUGGACUGCAACUGACACUGAUGCUCGAAAGUGUGGGUAUCAAACAGGAUUAGAUACCCCUGUAGUC
RNAcentral lists this ribosomal RNA (460 nucleotides) under uncultured bacterium. Its description in RNAcentral is "partial 16S ribosomal RNA". It matches the Rfam family "Bacterial small subunit ribosomal RNA", at positions 338 to 795 of the family's 1533-position model. The record is from RNAcentral.